CAAUAGCGUAUAUUUUAGUUGUUGCAGUUAAAAAGCUCGUAGUUGAAUUUCUGGUGAGCGAGAGUGGUCCGAUCAAUGAUUGGUGCUUGCUCUCGCUGGCCAUCCUUGGGUUUAGCCAGUCUGGCAUUAAGUUGUCGGGCUGGGGAUGCCCAUCGUUUACUGUGAAAAAAUUAGAGUGUUCAAAGCAGACUUAUGUCGUUGAAUAUAUUAGCAUGGAAUAAUAAGAUAGGACUACAGUGCUAUUUUGUUGGUUUGCGCACCGUGGUAAUGAUGAAUAGGGACAGUUGUGGGUAUUCGUAUUCACUUGUAAGAGGUGAAAUUCUUAGAUUAAGGGAAGACGAACUACUGCGAAAGCAUUUACCAAGGAUGUUUUCAUUAA
RNAcentral lists this ribosomal RNA (379 nucleotides) under uncultured eukaryote. RNAcentral's name for it is "partial 18S ribosomal RNA". It matches the Rfam family "Eukaryotic small subunit ribosomal RNA", at positions 592 to 976 of the family's 1831-position model. The record is from RNAcentral.